AAAAAAAAAAAAAAAGAGGUACGCUUUCGUGUUUCUUUUUUUUUUUUUAAUUUUUCCCUUUAUUUAUACUUCCAAGUUCUAAACUCGACAGUUUUAAGAAUGUUCGUGCAUGAUUUACUUAAUUAUAUAUGUCAAAAACCUGUAUACUUCUUUGUGUUUUAGAAAAGAGCUUAAUUAGAAAUGUACAUUUCAACAGUGAAAUUCCUAUCAAGAUUUCAAACUGGAAAAUUUCUGAAAUAAAUUUGAAGUUUAUUUCAAAUUAAAGUAACUUUGAUGAUCUCCCAAGAAGGCUUCGCCCUGCUGUUGCUAUCAAGGAUUUCAUGGGUACCGCGAAGCUAAUUUCUCAGCGGAUAAGUUGGUUUGUAUAGCAGAAGGCUUCCGGUUGAGCACUCAUAUUAUAGAUUUUUCCUAACUUGAUCUUAGACAAUGGCUAUGCAUGAUAAUAGUGGGAUUUCAACUUUCAUAUCCUACAGAUUGUUUGUAGAUUUCUUUAGAGUUAUGCUCUACCAUUUGUACCAAAAAAGAAAAAAUUUGAAGUUUAUUGGCUACCUACCAUUUUGCUUGACUUGACCAAGAAAUCAGAACGGUACGUACUAUAGUUUCCAAUCAUAUUCCAAUGGUCGACACCAAUAAAAGAAGAGAGAGAAUCGCGAGGGUUUUUCCAAGAUAAAUGUGAGAAAGAUGAACCCAUCAGUCAACAGUUUCAUCUCCUGCUAUUAGUUAGUUUGUUCGAUUUGUACAGUCUUGAACUUGCAGAUAAUCAAAAUUCACUUGGAGAUGCAAAUAAUUUGUUAAUUAUCCAAUAUGUUACCCUUAAAUUUUUAGGAAUACAUGUACAUUUAAGUUUUUUCCUUAAAAUUGAAUCAUCUGAUAAUUUUUUAAGAAAAAUUUGACUACACUAAUUGAAUUCCCCUAUAAGUCUACAACUAGGUCAAGUAGCAUGGUUAAAAGAAAAAAAAAAAAAAGAAGAAAAUAAUGAAAUUAUUAAACCAGCUAUUUGAUUAAUCGAGACAAAGAAUAAUUUCUAAUAAUUAAUAAUUUUUAUGAUUAAUAAUGGAAACCAUAAAUUAUUUAUAAAUUUUUAAUUCAAUUUUGCCUUCUUCCUAAAUUAAAUUCAACCAAAGUCUUGCUUUGAAUUGUUUAGCAUGUAAAAACUUGAAUUCUAGUUAAACAAUAGCAGUCUAAUGCAGAGAUUAAUACUACUACUCUACAUCUAAACUAGAAAUUAAAAUUAAAAAUCUGAAUAUAUUCUUUAAAUUAAAACGUUCUUAUAACUGCUCAUUCUAAUAAAUUUAAAGAAAAAAAACUUGUUUAUUGAUUUGAAUUCUGAAAGCUCCCCGUUUAGAUAAAUAUGGAUAAACAUUAGCAUAUGUUAUUAUCUAAAAGUUUAUGGUUCAAUAAAUUAAUAAAAAAUGAUUCAAUAAUUAAAAUUUUGUUAGCACAUGUACAUUAAUUGGUAGUUUCAGUGUAUGAUUGAGAGUGUAGCUUUCUCUGGACUCUGCAUUACAUUAAAGGUGUGGCUGUUAAGCAGAUGAUGAAGAUAAGCAUGGGCAAGUCAAAAUUCAGCGAUACACUUGUCGAUCAAUUAGCACAAUACUCCAAAACUAUAAUCCCUCAACUUUGCGACAUAACAUAUUACAGUUUAAAUAAAUAAAUAAAAAGAAGAAUUAGGAUCUAUCUUUCCACACAUAUACAUGUUUUAAUUAACAAGUCAUUCUCUAUAUAGGAGGAUUAGGUCGGAUCUUUCCCAGAGAAAAGCGUGAUAUACAAGUGGGAAUUAAAGAACAAACAAGGAAAAUUUGUUGAAUCAUGGCCGGUUGAAUAAGUUCCGUGCUAUAUGCUUGUCGAGAGAACAGUCCUUUUUUGCAUAUUAACCUUUCUUUCGUUGUCUGUUCGGCCUUGAAAUUAAUCUUUUUCACAUAUUUAUAUAGCUAAAUUCGUUUCUUUUUGUUUGAAAGAUUAUUAUUGUUCUAAGUAUUUCAGUCUCAAAUACGUGAGUUUGUAUUGCAUAUCGGUUUUCUUAAAUUCAUAUUAUAAUAAAAAUGAAUUUAUCAAUUACCGUUAAUUACAUAAUAUUUUAUGAUGAUCAUUUAUCUGCAAACAAACCUUAACACGGUAGAACAAACUCGUGGUACAACGAUAAUGUUGACAAAAAAAAGAAAGGGCUGAAUUGCAUUGGGAAAUUCUAACUAGUUUUGUUUUGUCUAUCCAUUCUUGUCCUUUGAAAGAGGUGGGGGGUUAGUGUACAGUUGCAACAAGUCCAAAUCAUAGUAAAUGUAACAAUUAUUUUCACGUCAUAUGGUUAGGUCUAAAGCAUUGUCGAGUGUAUCAGUUAGAUGGAUCCAGCUUUUCUCUGUUGAGAAAUUGGCAUUCAUUUAUAAAUUGUUGGGUCCAUUAUAUGUUGUCCUAUUUGUUCCAUAGGAGUUCUAUAUUAAUUGUUGGAAAAUUCCUCUUGGUAUAUAUUAUGUUCCUGGUAUACAGUUACAUAUACUUUUAAUCAAGUGAAAAAUCAUUUUUGGGCUUAAUUAAUUUUAAUUGUCAACUAGAUGUGAAAUGAAUAUACUAAACUAGGAGAAAGUAACUGUAAUAGCUGAUAAGAAGAAUUUUAAGGUCGAUUAGGACAGCGAACGCAGGGAAUAAGCUAAGGGACUGGUCGUUUGACAAGGUUUUACAUGGAAUUGGACAACUCAAGUCUUUGGCAGGUAGGUAACAGGAGAAGAAGGUAAGAUUUCACCAAACGACAGUAAUAUUGUUGCUCCUGGUAGCUUUACUUCUAGAAAUGCACAAAACGAGACGAAUAUUGUCUUUUCCUGAAAUUAUGACCCAAAUAGUUUAUUGCAAAAAGCUUGGUGAGUGUAAGCCCAACCCAAGAAAAGCUACGGCCUUUUUGAAUUCUGCUCCAUCUUCUCCAUUUUUGGCGAAGGCACUUGCCCUUCGUCAGUACAUGUGAGUAAGUUCAUUGCUGAUCUCGGCAGUUACUCAUGGCAAUUCCUAAUUCGUGACGAACCCACUCCGCCAUAUGACCGGAGAAGGAAGCUUACCGGUCAUGAAGCGGCCACUUAUUCAAAUCACCUUAUUUUACAUCACUUCAAAUCAUUUCUGUUUGGUUACUCUGCUAAUAAACGGCAAGCAUUGUAUCAUUUCUUGUGUUCUCUAAAAGGAUCAGAUUGCUUGUGU
Molecule: non-coding RNA, 3177 nt
Organism: Jatropha curcas
Lineage: Eukaryota; Viridiplantae; Streptophyta; Magnoliopsida; Malpighiales; Euphorbiaceae
Source: RefSeq, a predicted model, not a curated record